GCGCACCAGUCGAGAAUACUUACAAUGCGGGAAACCGUGAUAAGGGAACCUCGAGUGCUGGCGCAUAGCGUCGGCUGUCCAGAUGCCUAAAAGCAUCUGAUAGCAAGGGCCGGGCAAGACCGGUGCCAGCCGCCGCGGUAACACCGGCGGCUCGAGUGGUGGCCACGUUUAUGGGUCUAAAGCGUCCGUAGCCGGCUCGGCAAGUCCCCUGGGAAAUCUGGCGGCUCAACCGUCAGGCGUCCAGAGGAUACUGCUGGGCUUGGGACCGGGAGAGGUGAGAGGUACCUCAGGGGUAGGGUGAAAUCUUGUGAUCCCUGAGGGACCACC
RNAcentral lists this ribosomal RNA (327 nucleotides) under uncultured microorganism. RNAcentral describes it as "bacterial SSU rRNA". It matches the Rfam family "Archaeal small subunit ribosomal RNA", at positions 330 to 661 of the family's 1478-position model. The record is from RNAcentral.